Molecule: ribosomal RNA, 253 nt
Filed under: uncultured bacterium
Lineage: Bacteria
Description: partial 16S ribosomal RNA
Rfam family: Bacterial small subunit ribosomal RNA
Source: RNAcentral
GACAGAGGUGCCGAGCGUUGUCCGGAUUUACUGGGCGUAAAGCGCGCGCAGGCGGCACUCUAAGUACGCUGUGAAACAUCCCGGCUCAACCGGGAGGGUGCAGUGUAGACUAGGGAGCUAGAGGUCGGUAGAGGGGGGUGGAAUUGCUGGUGUAGCGGUGAAAUGCGUAGAUAUGCGGAGGAACACCGAUGGCGAAGGCAAUCCCCUGGACCUGUACUGACGCUCAUGCACGAAAGCGUGGGGAGCAAACAGG